GAUGAACGCUGGCGGCGUGCUUAACACAUGCAAGUCGAACGAGAAACCUUUUAUUGAAGCUUCGGCAGAUUUAGCUGGUUUCUAGUGGCGGACGGGUGAGUAACGCGUGGGUAACCUGCCCUAUACAGGGGGAUAACAACCAGAAAUGGUUGCUAAUACCGCAUAAGCGCACAGGGCCGCAUGGUCCGGUGUGAAAAACUCCGGUGGUAUAGGAUGGACCCGCGUUGGAUUAGCCAGUUGGCAGGGUAACGGCCUACCAAAGCGACGAUCCAUAGCCGGCCUGAGAGGGUGAACGGCCACAUUGGGACUGAGACACGGCCCAGACUCCUACGGGAGGCAGCAGUGGGGAAUAUUGCACAAUGGGGGAAACCCUGAUGCAGCGACGCCGCGUGAAGGAAGAAGUAUCUCGGUAUGUAAACUUCUAUCAGCAGGGAAGAUAGUGACGGUACCUGACUAAGAAGCCCCGGCUAACUACGUG
This 478-nucleotide ribosomal RNA is filed under the name uncultured bacterium. Its description in RNAcentral is "partial 16S ribosomal RNA". It matches the Rfam family "Bacterial small subunit ribosomal RNA", at positions 28 to 507 of the family's 1533-position model. The record is from RNAcentral.